ACACUCCAGUAGGACUAUUUACCAGAGAGAACGGUCUACACUGAACAGACAGGUAAAAACAUGAAGGCUGUGAUUCUUGCUCUUCUGGUAUUGGCGGUUGUCAGUCAGGGGGAAGCCUUGAGGUGUUUUUGUAAAGGCACAAACAAGAUAUGUUCAAGCCCUAUUGAGACCUGUUCCGGACUUAAUCCAGUCUGUGCCAGCAUCCUCCUUCAAGCUGGACCCCAUGUCAGCUAUUUCAGGAGUUGCAUGAACGCAGCUGACUGCAGAAAGCUCGUUGGUUGGUCAAGUGUAUCUGGCUCCUGCUGCAGCCGUGAUCUCUGCAACUGAUGAAUGUACAUGCAAAAUGAAAAAUGAAUCAAGCAACGCAUCUUCCAGUAUUAGUAAUUAUUUUCUCUCAUGUGUUGUGUACUUUUGCAUUGUCAUAAUAAAGAUCAAUCAGUUGUAA
Long non-coding RNA from Anoplopoma fimbria (sablefish), 445 nucleotides. RefSeq lists it as uncharacterized. Lineage: Eukaryota; Metazoa; Chordata; Actinopteri; Perciformes; Anoplopomatidae. The transcript is spliced from 4 exons. The record is from RefSeq and is a predicted model, not a curated record.